This 450-nucleotide ribosomal RNA is filed under the name uncultured bacterium. Its description in RNAcentral is "bacterial SSU rRNA". It matches the Rfam family "Bacterial small subunit ribosomal RNA", at positions 29 to 524 of the family's 1533-position model. The record is from RNAcentral.
AGCGAACGCUGGCGGCAGGCCUAAUACAUACAAGUCGAACGGAUCCUUCGGGAUUAGUGGCGGACGGGUGAGUAACACGUGGGAACGUGCCCUUUGGUUCGGAACAACUCAGGGAAACUUGAGCUAAUACCGGAUAAGCCCUUCGGGGAAGGAUUAUCGCCAUUGGAGCGGCCCGCGUCUGAUUAGCUAGUUGGUGGGGUAAAGGGCCUACCAAGGCGACGAUCAGUAGCUGGUCUGAGAGGAUGANCAGCCACACUGGGACUGAGACACGGCCCAGACUCCUACGGGAGGCAGCAGUAGGGAAUCUUGCGCAAUGGGCGAAAGCCUGACGCAGCCAUGCCGCGUGAAUGAUGAAGGUCUUAGGAUUGUAAAAUUACUUUCUAGCGGGACGAUAAUGACGGUACCCGCAGAAGAAGCCCCGGCUAACUUCGUGCCAGCAGCCGCGGUAAU